AUUGAACGCUGGCGGCAUGCCUUACACAUGCAAGUCGAACGGCAGCACGGGUGCUUGCACCUGGUGGCGAGUGGCGAACGGGUGAGUAAUACAUCGGAACAUGUCCUUAAGUGGGGGAUAGCCCGGCGAAAGCCGGAUUAAUACCGCAUACGCUCUACGGCUGAAAGCGGGGGACCUUCGGGCUUCGCGCUUUCGGGUUGGCCGAUGGCGGAUUAGCUAGUUGGUGGGGUAAAGGCCUACCAAGGCGACGAUCAGUAGCUGGUCUGAGAGGACGACCAGCCACACUGGGACUGAGACACGGCCCAGACUCCUACGGGAGGCAGCAGUGGGGAAUUUUGGACAAUGGGCGAAAGCCUGAUCCAGCAAUGCCGCGUGUGUGAAGAAGGCCUUCGGGUUGUAAAGCACUUUUGUCCGGAAAGAAAUCCAUGGCCCUAAUACGGUCGGGGGAUGACGGUACCGGAAGAAUAAGCACCGGCUAACUACGUG
Molecule: ribosomal RNA, 486 nt
Filed under: uncultured bacterium
Lineage: Bacteria
Description: partial 16S ribosomal RNA
Rfam family: Bacterial small subunit ribosomal RNA
Source: RNAcentral